RNAcentral lists this ribosomal RNA (505 nucleotides) under uncultured bacterium. RNAcentral's name for it is "partial 16S ribosomal RNA". It matches the Rfam family "Bacterial small subunit ribosomal RNA", at positions 28 to 507 of the family's 1533-position model. The record is from RNAcentral.
GACGAACGCUGGCGGCGUGCCUAAUACAUGCAAGUAGAACGCACAGUUUAUACCGUAGCUUGCUACACCAUAGACUGUGAGUUGCGAACGGGUGAGUAACGCGUAGGUAACCUGCCUGGUAGCGGGGGAUAACUAUUGGAAACGAUAGCUAAUACCGCAUAAUAUUAAUUAUUGCAUGAUAAUUAAUUGAAAGGUGCAAUUGCACCACUACCAGAUGGACCUGCGUUGUAUUAGCUAGUAGGUGAGGUAACGGCUCACCUAGGCGACGAUACAUAGCCGACCUGAGAGGGUGAUCGGCCACACUGGGACUGAGACACGGCCCAGACUCCUACGGGAGGCAGCAGUAGGGAAUCUUCGGAAAUGGACGAAAGUCUGACCGAGCAACGCCGCGUGAGUGAAGAAGGUUUUCGGAUCGUAAAGCUCUGUUGUAAGAGAAGAACGGGUGUGAGAGUGGAAAGUUCACACUGUGACGGUAUCUGACCAGAAAGGGACGGCUAACUACGUG